AGGAUUAACGCUGGCGGUGUGCCUAAUACAUGCAAGUCGAACGGAUUCUUUAGAAAGUAUUUCGUAUGAAGUAUUUAGUAUCUAGUAGGAAACUACUAAAUACCAAAUACUAAAUACUAGAUACCGGACAAAGAGUUAGUGGCGGACGGGUGAGUAACACGUUGGUACCUGCCCUUUAGUGGGGAAUAACUGGCCGAAAGGUCAGCUAAUACCGCAUGUGGUCUUCGGACUAAAGCCUUCGGGCGCUAAAGGAGGGGCCUGCGUCCCAUUAGCUAGUUGGUAGGGUAAAAGCCUACCAAGGCGACGAUGGGUAGCUGGAUCGAGAGGUUGACCAGCCACACUGGGACUGAGAUACGGCCCAGACUCCUACGGGAGGCAGCAGUAAGGAAUCUUCCACAAUGGACGAAAGUCUGAUGGAGCAACACCGCGUGCAGGAUGAAGGCUUUCGGGUCGUAAACUGCUUUUAUAGAGGAAGAUUAUGACGGUACUCUAUGAAUAAGGACCGCUAACUACGUGCCAGCAGCCGA
RNAcentral lists this ribosomal RNA (527 nucleotides) under uncultured bacterium. RNAcentral describes it as "SSU rRNA". It matches the Rfam family "Bacterial small subunit ribosomal RNA", at positions 26 to 518 of the family's 1533-position model. The record is from RNAcentral.